Molecule: ribosomal RNA, 258 nt
Filed under: uncultured bacterium
Lineage: Bacteria
Description: partial 16S ribosomal RNA
Rfam family: Bacterial small subunit ribosomal RNA
Source: RNAcentral
UACGGAGGGUGCAAACGUUGCUCGGAAUCAUUGGGCGUAAAGGGCGCGUAGGCGGUCAGCACAAGUCAGUUGUGAAAUCUCCGGGCUUAACUCGGAAAGGUCAACUGAUACUGUGCGACUAGAGUGCGGAAGGGGCAACUGGAAUUCUCGGUGUAGCGGUGAAAUGCGUAGAUAUCGAGAGGAACACCUGCGGCGAAGGCGGGUUGCUGGGCCGACACUGACGCUUGGAUGCGCGAAAAGCCCAGGGGAGCGAACAGG